AGGCCUGUAGGCUAGUGGUAAACCGGGGGACUCCAAAUCCCCAUUCGAGGGUUCGAUUCCUUCCAGGCCUGCCA
RNAcentral lists this transfer RNA (74 nucleotides) under Candidatus Berkelbacteria bacterium. Its description in RNAcentral is "tRNA-Trp". It matches the Rfam family "tRNA". Rfam says of the family: Transfer RNA (tRNA) molecules are approximately 80 nucleotides in length. Their secondary structure includes four short double-helical elements and three loops (D, anti-codon, and T loops). The record is from RNAcentral. Lineage: Bacteria; Candidatus Berkelbacteria.